AAAUGAAUUGACGGGGGCCCGCACAAGCAGUGGAUCAUGUGGUUUAAUUCGAAGCAACGCGCAAAACCUUACCUGGAUUUGACAUCCUCGGACCGCAGCAGAAAUGUUGUUUUCGUAGCAAUACGACCGAGAGACAGGUGUUGCAUGGCUGUCGUCAGCUCGUGUGGUGACAUGUUGGGUUAAGUCCCGCAACGAGCGCAACCCCUAUCUUUAGUUGCCAGCCUUAAGUUGGGCACUCUAGAGAGACUGCCGUGGUGAACACGGAGGAAGGUGGGGAUGACGUCAAGUCCUCAUGGCCUUUAUAUCCAGGGCUACACACGUGAUACAAUGGUCGGUACAGAGGGAAGCGAAAGGGUGACCUGGAGCCAAUCUCAAAAAGCCGAUCUCAGUUCGGAUUGAAGUCUGCAAUUCGACUUCAUGAAGGUGGAAUUGCUAGUAAUCGCGGAUCAGCACGCCGCGGUGAAUACGUUCCCGGGCCUUGUACACACCGCCCGU
RNAcentral lists this ribosomal RNA (495 nucleotides) under uncultured bacterium. RNAcentral describes it as "bacterial SSU rRNA". It matches the Rfam family "Bacterial small subunit ribosomal RNA", at positions 903 to 1397 of the family's 1533-position model. The record is from RNAcentral.